GAAGUGGUUCUACUUGUGGCUGGGUGCAGGUCAGCCUGGAGCCUAGCAGGCAGGCAGGAGACCCUGGGGUUAUUGGCCAGAACCACACAGCCUUUUUAUCACACAAAACAAUCUCCUUCCAGAGCUCCUGAGACUCCUAGGGCCAAGCCCUGAGCUGCCUAGGACAGACACGGAGUUGAGUCACACAGUGACCCAGAAUCUCAGCCUCAUCAGAGCAGAGCGAUGUUUCAGGCAAGCAGGUUAGCUGAUGGUCAACUCCAGAAUGCUCCACUAAAAGAAAGGGUGAAGAGCCUUUCCCAGCCCUCUUGUGCUGUGAACAACAGACCACAUGGCAACAGACAGAGAACAGAACCGGAAUGCUCUCCAAAACAGAGUUUGGAGAUGUCCAGCGAUCUUAGAAUGGUCCGGUCCUGAUGACACCCCUGAGUUACUUAUCAGUACCCUGACACUUCAGAUGGUGGAAGCAAGCAGAACCCUGCAGGUGUGCCAAGGUCUCACCCUUGUCACCAACAGCUUUUAGAAAGAACAGUCAGAACUGUCUGGGGACACUGCCCAGUGACAUAGCCGCCCUCCUCAGCUCCUUGUCCGCAUGUAUGAGUGCAACGGUGGUGGCUGUGCCUACCUGCCUGGCCCUGUCCGCCUUCAGGGCCUCCAUGCCGCUCUGUAGCUGUUCUUUCUCUCGGAUCAGCUCCUCACUCAGCAUCUCCAGGUCUUGGUUACUCUGCUUUUCUCUCUCCAGCUGCGUCUGUAACUUUUCAAUCUGCAGAUGUAAAGAUACAGCCUGUGACAGACAGUCAGCCUAACAGGAUGAGGUGUGUUUAGACAGAUACACAGACAGACAGACCCUUCUCUGCCCAGGUUAUUAAUAAUACAGGUCCGUGAGGGGACAAAAAAGGUCCCAGUGUCGCUCUGCAGCAAAGUAUACCUUCCCUCAGUCACUGGCCUGACAUGACCUGCACUUUCUGUCUGGGCUAAGAGAAGUCACUGGGCAGCAGAGUGCUGUAUGUCCGUCCAAUCUACUCCAUGUCUUGCUUUUUUCCCCUUGACCUCCUCCACUUCUGCUCAGGGUCAGACCGCAUACCCAAAGCACAUUCCCGACAAGGACUGUACGGCUCCCUUCCCCUUCCUUAUGCUUGGUGACACUGUGCAGCUGCUCAGGUCCUGUCACCCUCCAGGUAAACCCAUCAUCGAGUCUUGUCCCUUCUGCCCACUCUGCUCCCUCCUUCCAUCCACUGCGCUGCCCUAGGCCAGAAUAUAUUGUUCUAUCUGGACAAUUUCCCUCCCGUCACCACCUACCAACACCAGGCUCUGAUGGGGGAACCCACCAGUACCCAAGCUUCCUAGGACAUGAGCUCCCUACGUAAGAGUUCUCCUUAUCUUCGUUUGUAUACAGAGAAUAGGCUACAGGGCAGAGGUGACCCACACUGUGCUUAGCCCAGCAAGAAGAUACCCCAGGCUUUCCUGCCUGAGAACCCAUGGAGUGGUAGAGCCUUUUCUUCAAUGUCAGCUCUUUUUUUAUAUUAUACAAGAUUAGGCGCCCAUUUAUAAAGAUAUUCUCUGCCUUAAGACCACAGAAAUCUAAGAGACCAAAUCAUGUGGUUACUUUUCCCAUUUUUGCUUUGCUUCAAAAAACAAGGCAUGAGAUAGGAGUGUCUCCUAUUCCUCUAAAGGCAGAACAAUCCUGGAACAGUGAAAAUGUCACACAACACUGAGUAUUUAAAGGGGGGGUAAGUGGUGAGAAGGUAAAUGCAGCUAGAUGGUUCCCUGAGAUCCUUUCCACAGCAGGAAAUGUGCGCCACGCCCCACGAAGAGGAGAGAAAGCAGCAGAGGUGGGGUCCCUGGGAACUGGUUUCUUCCCGGCUUGUCCUCCACCCACCACUGCCUCCUCAGAGUGUGGCGGUAGAUAUGUCAAGGGCCCUGGAAGGUCACCUUCUUGCUAAGCUGCUGGUUCUCCUUCUCCAGCUCCCCACACUUGAGGCUGCUCUCCUCCAGCGCCAGUGACGUGUCCCGCAGACCCUGAAUGGUGCUCUGUAGGCUCUGGUUCUCCUUCUCCAGCUUCAGGAUGCGGCUGGAGGCGCACUCGUUCAGCUCAAACACGAAGGAUUUCCUGGAGGCUGGAGGGCCGAGUCCGUUAAGACCUAGCAUUUUGGGAACCCUGCUUCUACCUUCUGACAUAAGGUGAACCUAGGCUUCCCCUCUUGUUCUCCAUUCUCAUCCCAAUAUGACUGCUUCUUCACCACCCAACAGUGAGGUCCCCUGCUGGCAGAAUUGGGGCCCACUCAAUCUAGAACUUAAGGAGAACUCAGAUGACCUUGUGGGACCUGGGUCACCUCACUGCUCACCUGACUGGCUCAAGGGCCACAGACAUUUUCUGUGCUCACUAUGGGAGCAGUGGGCAUUACGCUGCUCAGCAGAGAGGGCAAAGUGAUCAGCUGACUGAGGGGGAAGGGAAGCUGGGCCCGUGAAUAUCUGCCCAUUGUUGGACAGCCUGUGCUAAAAUCUUGACAUUAGAGAUUUCUUCCAACUUUACAAUUAUGUUGAAGGAAAAGUCAAACCAUACAUGCAAGCUGCUUUAGACUUCUCAGUGAGACUAGAGAAAAGCUCAAUGUUUUAAAAGUCAUCUACUCUGCUUUUAAGCAACCCAGCACCUUCUUGGGGGUCAAGAACUAGACUUUUCCUUCUACCGAGCAGAUGCAAGGCUUCAGGUAAGUCACAGAGCUUCUCAGGAGGAACAAGGUAGGCCUGACACACCCUAAGGAAACAGUCAGGGCUGUUCCUCAGUCCCCAGUCUGCCCACCCAUCAGAGCCUUAUUACACUGUACAGUGGAGGCUUAUGCUAUGGCUCUGUAUUGUAAUGCUAAGUACUGCCCCCCUCCCCUUCCCCCAGAUCUGACUGCCUCAGGGACAAGGAAAUCCUCACAUAACCAAGUGGGGCUAUGUGACCGUGCUCCUUAAACUAUUGGUUAAAUAAGGAUGCCUGUAGCCUAUGGCCUAUAGGGGGCAGAAGAGAGGUAGGUAGAGCUUUGGUUACCAGACUUGGGGUCUGAGGCGAAGACCAUGAGAAGGAAAGAAGAGGAGAGCCGAGAAUAAAAAGAGAGAAGAUGCCAUAGGUAAGGGGCUGUGAGAACUGGCCAUGAGGGCUGGCCAGCCAGAGUACGAGCAGCCCAGAUGGAACAUGGCAAGUUUUAUCUCAGGGUUAUUGACAGGGAAGUAGACAAAAUAGCAUAGAGGGUAGAUAUCUGCCCCUCUCUAGUGUUGUUAAGGCUUCUU
Molecule: long non-coding RNA, 3270 nt
Filed under: Mus pahari (shrew mouse)
Lineage: Eukaryota; Metazoa; Chordata; Mammalia; Rodentia; Muridae
Description: RIKEN cDNA A630072L19 gene (MGP_PahariEiJ_G0006341.1)
Source: RNAcentral